Molecule: ribosomal RNA, 1242 nt
Filed under: metagenome
Description: bacterial LSU rRNA
Rfam family: Bacterial large subunit ribosomal RNA
Source: RNAcentral
UGAAUACGAGACGCUAAGGCGUCGAAGUAGUGUAUGUCAUACUUCCAAGAAAAGCUUGCACUGUCAUAGAUAAAAAACGCCUGUACCAUAACCGACACAGGUGGGUAGGUAGAGUAUACUAAGGGGCGCGAGAUAACUCUCUCUAAGGAACUCGGCAAAAUAACUCCGUAACUUCGGGAGAAGGAGUGCCUUAUUCUUAAGGUUGCAAUAACAAGGUCCAAGCAACUGUUUAUCAAAAACACAGGUCUCCGCUAAGUCGUAAGACGAUGUAUGGGGGCUGACGCCUGCCCAGUGCCAGAAGGUUAAAGAAGCUGGUUAGCAUUGCGAAGCUAGUAACUGAAGCCCUGGUGAACGGCGGCCGUAACAAUAACGGUCCUAAGGUAGCGAAAUUCCUUGUCGGGUAAGUUCCGACCCGCACGAAAGGCGUAAUGAUUUGGAUACUGUCUCGGAGAGGGGCUCGGUGAAAUAGACUUGUCUGUGAAGAUGCGGACUACCUGCACCAGGACAGAAAGACCCUAUGAAGCUUUACUGUAACUUGAAAUUGAAAUUGGACUUUAUUCGCGCAGUAUAGGUGGGAGGCGUUGAUUAUAAUCUUGCGGGAUUAUUGGAGCCAUUAGUGAGAUACCACUCUUGUAAUGUUAGAUUUCUAACUUUGAAUCAUUAUCUGGUCAAAGAACAGUUUCAGGCGGGCAGUUUGACUGGGGCGGUCGCCUCCCAAACGGUAACGGAGGCGUACAAAGGUUUCCUCUGAACGGUUAGAAAUCGUAUCUAGAGUGUAAAGGCAUAAGGAAGCUUGACUGUGAGACCUACAAGUCGAGCAGGGACGAAAGUCGGUCUUAGUGAUCUGACGGUACUGAGUGGAAAGGCCGUCACUCAACGGAUAAAAGUUACUCUAGGAUAACAGGCUGAUCUCCCCCAAGAGUUCACAUCGACGGGGAGGUUUGGCACCUCGAUGUCGGCUCAUCGCAUCCUGGGGCGGUAGUACGUCCCAAGGGUUGGGCUGUUCGCCCAUGAAAGCGGUACGCGAGCUGGGUUCAGAACGUCGUGAGACAGUUCGGUCCAUAUCCGGUGUAGGCGUUAGAAUAUUGAGAGGAGCCUUCUUUAGUACGAGAGGACCGAGAAGGACAUACCUCUGGUGUACCAGUUAUCGUGCCAACGGUAGACGCUGGGUAGCUAUGUAUGGAGUGGAUAACCGCUGAAAGCAUCUAAGUGGGAAGCCCACCUCAAGAUAAGUAUUCUCAC